UCCAGCUAAAAUUUUUCAGAAUUUUCACUUUUUGGCAAAUUUUGCCCAACAAACACAGAGCCAUUAUCACUCUUUCGCUGAAGCCUGAAACUGAGAGAGCAUAGAAAUCUCACAGAGCGCAUGGAAAUCUCAUAGAGCUCGAUGAUCAUCGAUUAGGUACGUAAUUGCACAGCUCCGAUUAGGUACGAUCUUGGUUUUGUGACUCUUCCUCUCUCUUGGCAUUGUGUUUCUCAGCUCCGGUUAGGUUGUAGCACAGAAGGAAGCUGAAAUCACUGAGCAGGAUUCGCUUCUUCUGACGAGGAAUCUGCUCCAAAUUGCUAUAUUCAAUAUUAGUUACAUCAGAGGCCUGUAUAUCAGAGAAAUUUACUUACUUGGACCUGCUACAACUUCUAUCAGUCAACACCAACAAAAUUGCCGGGGAGAAUUAUUUCUUUCAUUCUGGGCAGGGUGGUUAGGAUAACUUGGAUGUGUGAAGUAAAUUUGGAAGCGGUUCUUCUUGCAUUGUGCUCAAAGCAAUUCAGCCAAGCAUAAGUGCCUAUGUCUUGUUUGCAGCUUAAUUUGGUUGCAAACUAGAGUAAAACACUGGAUAUUCUGAUUAUUUUUAAAUUUCAUCACCAAUGAAACAAGUUCUAACACUUUUCUUUUGUUUUCUAUGAAUCAGGGGUUUUUGAGAAAACCAGCAACUACUACAGAACAUCUGCACUUGAGUUGAAAGAGAAAAGAGCAAAGCCAUUGGAAGAGUGGAUGAACAUAGAAAGCAGUUUUGGUGAGCUUGAUGAUAUUAGUUUAGUCCAAGCUAAGCUGCCAAAAAAGCUGAAAAAGAGGAGGCAGAUGCUGUCUGAGAUAUAAUUGUGUUCCAUUACAUUUUGUAAGCUUUCCUUGUUUGCCUUUGCUAACAAGUUUAAAUUGGCAGAUAUGAGGAAUACAUUGACUACAUGUUCCCAGAGGAAACUCAGACGACUAAUCUUAGAAUAUUGGAAGCUGCACAUAAGUGGAAGAAGCAAAAGAUUUCUGAUAAAGACUAGCAUGGUAACGUGCUUUUGUAGAAUUGAAGCUUUUGGUGUAAAUACAUAAUUGCUUUUUUAAUGUUAAUUGGGUGAAAAUGAAGUAGCCUUGACAGUUAGUAGGGCAAUAAGUUUUGCUAGAGAACUUUGCAUUUCUAAGGUAGAGUUCGAAGGAGAUAGUCAGAGAGUUGUCACAGCUAUCAACAACCAGGUGCCAUCAAAAACCAUGGUUUGGUCAUGUUAUUGAAGAGAUUUGGAUGUUGUAAGAGAUUUUUCAUAAAUAUAGCUUCAAACAUGUAAAAAGAGAGGGCAACCAGCUUGCUCAUUCCCUUGCUAGAACAUUGAUGGGCAUUUUUUUUCUUCUUCUUUCUUUUAUGCUCUUAUGAGAAUGAUUUCUA
Long non-coding RNA from Quercus lobata, 1402 nucleotides. RefSeq lists it as uncharacterized. NCBI's taxonomy places the organism in Eukaryota, Viridiplantae, Streptophyta, Magnoliopsida, Fagales, Fagaceae. The record is from RefSeq and is a predicted model, not a curated record. The transcript is spliced from 5 exons.